AACUAAAAUGCCAGCUUAAAAAAAUAUGUCUUUAGUUGCUGUCUAAAAGCAUCCACAGAAUCCAGAGAGUGAAGGGAACAGGGAAGCUCAUACCAGAGGUGAGGUGCCACAUCUUUAAUGGAUCUGUCCCCUUGAGUUUUGAAACAAGUACAGGGAACCAUCAGCAGGUUCUGAUUGGAAGACCUCAAGCUCCUGCUGGAAACAUAAGGUUAGAUCAGGUUCUUAAUGUAUUCCGGUGCCUGCCCAUGUAAAGCUCUAAAGGUCAGCACUAGGAUUUUCUAAUUUAUCCUGUAAAUAUCAGGGAGUCAUUGUAGAGACUUGAGGAUAGGAGUAAUAUGAGUUCUCCUGUGGGUGCGGGUAUAUCCACACACCU
Long non-coding RNA from Thalassophryne amazonica, 373 nucleotides. RefSeq lists it as uncharacterized. Lineage: Eukaryota; Metazoa; Chordata; Actinopteri; Batrachoidiformes; Batrachoididae. The record is from RefSeq and is a predicted model, not a curated record. The transcript has 3 exons.